GGGGGAAUAUUGGACAAUGGGCGAAAGCCUGAUCCAGCCAUGCCGCGUGUGUGAAGAAGGUCUUCGGAUUGUGAAGCACUUUAAGUUGGGAGGAAGGGCCGUUACCUAAUACGUGAUGGUUUUGACGUUACCGACAGAAUAAGCACCGGCUAACUCUGUGCCAGCAGCCGCGGUAAUACAGAGGGCGCAAGCGUUAAUCGGAAUUACUGGGCGUAAAGCGCGCGUAGGUGGUUUGUUAAGUUGGAUGUGAAAUCCCCGGGCUCAACCUGGGAACUGCAUUCAAAACUGACUGACUAGAGUAUGGUAGAGGGUGGUGGAAUUUCCUGUGUAGCGGUGAAAUGCGUAGAUAUAGGAAGGAACACCAGUGGCGAAGGCGACCACCUGGACUGAUACUGACACUNGAGGUGCGAAAGCGUGGGGAGCAAACAGGAUUAGAUACCCUGGGUAGUCCACGCCGUAAACGAUGAAUGCUAGGUGUAAGGGGUUUCGAUACCCUUGGUGCCCGAAAGUUAACACAUUAAGCAUUCCGCCUGGGGGAGNUACCGUUUCGCC
This 552-nucleotide ribosomal RNA is filed under the name uncultured bacterium 8F21. RNAcentral's name for it is "bacterial SSU rRNA". It matches the Rfam family "Bacterial small subunit ribosomal RNA", at positions 355 to 873 of the family's 1533-position model. The record is from RNAcentral.